GGAUGCGAUCAUAGCAGCACUAAAGCACCGGAUCCCAUCAGAACUCCGAAGUUAAGCGUGCUUGGGCGAGAGUAGUACUAGGAUGGGUGACCUCCUGGGAAGUGCUCGUGUUGCAUUCCC
Molecule: ribosomal RNA, 120 nt
Filed under: Thinopyrum intermedium
Lineage: Eukaryota; Viridiplantae; Streptophyta; Magnoliopsida; Poales; Poaceae
Source: RNAcentral